Molecule: ribosomal RNA, 317 nt
Filed under: uncultured bacterium
Lineage: Bacteria
Description: bacterial SSU rRNA
Rfam family: Bacterial small subunit ribosomal RNA
Source: RNAcentral
GAUAAACGCUGGCGGCGCACAUAAGACAUGCAAGUCGAACGGACUUAACCGAAAUGUUUACAUUUUGGAGCGGUUAGUGGCGGACUGGUGAGUAACGCGUGAGCAACCUGCCUAUUAGAGGGGAAUAACAGUGAGAAAUCAUUGCUAAUACCGCAUAAGCUGAUAAUAUCGCAUGAUAUAGUCAGAAAAGGAGCAAUCCGCUAAUAGAUGGGCUCGCGUCUGAUUAGCUAGUUGGUGGGGUAAAGGCCUACCAAGGCGACGAUCAGUAGCCGGACUGAGAGGUUGAACGGCCACAUUGGGACUGAGAUACGGCCCAG